RNAcentral lists this ribosomal RNA (399 nucleotides) under uncultured bacterium. RNAcentral's name for it is "bacterial SSU rRNA". It matches the Rfam family "Bacterial small subunit ribosomal RNA", at positions 358 to 773 of the family's 1533-position model. The record is from RNAcentral.
GGAAUAUUGCACAAUGGGCGCAAGCCUGAUGCCGCGACGCCGCGUGGGUGAAGAAGGUUUUCGGAUCGUAAAGCCCUUUUCUUCGUGACGAGAAAGGACGGUAGCGCAGGAAGAAGGGUCGGCUAACUACGUGCCAGCAGCCGCGGUAAAACGUAGGACGCAAGCGUUAUCCGGAGUUACUGGGCGUAAAGCGCGUGCAGGCGGUGACGUAAGUUGUCUGUGAAAGUUCCCGGCUAAACCGGGAGAUGCCAGAUGAGACUGCGUGACUGGAGAGCGAGAGAGGAUCGUGGAAUUCCGGGUGUAGUGGUGAAAUGCGCAGAUAUCCGGAGGAACACCGGUGGCGAAGGCGGCGGUCUGGCUCGCAACUGACGCUGAGACGCGAAAGCAUGGGUAGCGAAC